GAUCCUGAGGGCGAUCUGGCUGCAACAUUGAUUGCUAGGGUCGAUUCGGCUGAUCUUGCUGGCCAGACUGCCUCACUGCUUCACGUGCGUCCCUCCCAAAGCUGCACGCUGCGUCGACCAUCCCUGACAGAGGCGGACCAGUCUUCGGUCAAGGGUAUAUGAGUAGCUGCACUCCCCUGCUAGUACCUCCAAACAAGCUCUCAAGAUCCAAAUGACACUGGGGAUUAGGGUUUCAACACAGGAAUUUGGGGUGCCCAGUGCAACCCAUAAGCUAUGGCCUCCCGUGGGAU
This is a non-coding RNA of Chlorocebus sabaeus (green monkey), 290 nucleotides long. It matches the Rfam family "7SK RNA". From Rfam's summary of the family: 7SK was discovered as an abundant small nuclear RNA in the mid-70s but a possible function has only recently been suggested. Two independent studies have found that 7SK RNA binds the CDK9/cyclin T complex (known as elongation factor P-TEFb). P-TEFb activates transcription by phosphorylating the C-terminal domain of RNA polymerase II. The record is from Rfam. NCBI's taxonomy places the organism in Eukaryota, Metazoa, Chordata, Mammalia, Primates, Cercopithecidae.